GUGAGGAAUAUUGGUCAAUGGGCGCAAGCCUGAACCAGCCAUGCCGCGUGCAGGAAGACGGUCCUAUGGAUUGUAAACUGCUUUUAUUUGGGAAUAAACCUCCUUACGUGUAGGGAGCUGAAGGUACCAAAUGAAUAAGCACCGGCUAACUCCGUGCCGGCAGCCGCGGUAAUACGGAGGGUGCAAGCGUUAUCCGGAAUCAUUGGGCUUAAAGGGUCCGCAGGCGGUCAUAUAAGUCAGUGGUGAAAGCCUACCGCUCAACUGUAGAACUGCCAUUGAUACUGUAUGACUUGAAUUCGAUCGAAGUGGGCGGAAUGUGACAUGUAGCGGUGAAAUGCUUAGAUAUGUCACAGAACACCGAUAGCGAAGGCAGCUCACUAGGUCUGGAUUGACGCUCAGGGACGAAAGCGUGGGGAGCAAACAGGAUUAGAUACCCUUGUAGUCC
This 445-nucleotide ribosomal RNA is filed under the name uncultured bacterium. Its description in RNAcentral is "partial 16S ribosomal RNA". It matches the Rfam family "Bacterial small subunit ribosomal RNA", at positions 354 to 796 of the family's 1533-position model. The record is from RNAcentral.